Molecule: ribosomal RNA, 253 nt
Filed under: uncultured bacterium
Lineage: Bacteria
Description: partial 16S ribosomal RNA
Rfam family: Bacterial small subunit ribosomal RNA
Source: RNAcentral
UACGAAGGGGGCGAGCGUUGUUCGGAAUCACUGGGCGUAAAGGGCGCGUAGGCGGCCCUCUUUGUCGCGUGUGAAAGCCCCGGGCUCAACCUGGGAACGGCGCGCGAAACGGGGGGGCUGGAGUUCGGGAGAGGAGAGUGGAAUUCCCAGUGUAGAGGUGAAAUUCGUAGAUAUCGGGAGGAACACCUAUGGCGAAGGCAGCUCGCUGGGACGUUACUGACGCUGAGACGCGAAAGCGUGGGGAGCAAACAGG